ACUCCUACGGGAGGCAGCAGUGGGGAAUAUUGGACAAUGGGGGAAACCCUGAUCCAGCAAUACCGCGUGUGUGAAGAAGGCCUUCGGGUUGUAAAGCACUUUUAGCAGGAAAGAAAGACUAUGUGCUAAUACCGCAUGGUUUUGACGUUACUUGCAGAAAAAGCACCGGCUAACUCCGUGCCAGCAGCCGCGGUAAUACGGAGGGUGCAAGCGU
Molecule: ribosomal RNA, 214 nt
Filed under: uncultured bacterium
Lineage: Bacteria
Description: partial 16S ribosomal RNA
Rfam family: Bacterial small subunit ribosomal RNA
Source: RNAcentral